GUGCCAGCAGCCGCGGUAAUACAGGGGGUGCAAGCGUUGCUCGGAAUUACUGGGCGUAAAGCGUGCGCAGGCGGUCCUGCAAGUCGGGGGUGAAAACCCGGGGCUCAACCCCGGAAUUGCCUCCGAAACUGCCGGACUUGAGUACGAGAGAGGGUUGCGGAAUUCUUGGUGUAGAGGUGAAAUUCGUAGAUAUCAGGAAGAACACCAGUGGCGAAAGCGGCAACCUGGCUCGAUACUGACGCUCAUGCACGAAAGCGUGGGGAGCAAACAGGAUUAGAUACCCCGGUAGUCC
Molecule: ribosomal RNA, 292 nt
Filed under: uncultured bacterium
Lineage: Bacteria
Description: partial 16S ribosomal RNA
Rfam family: Bacterial small subunit ribosomal RNA
Source: RNAcentral